GUGUGUGUUUGUGUGUGGUGUGUGUGUGGUGUGUGUGUUUGUGUGUGUGUGUGUGUGUGUGUGUGUGUGUGUGUGUGUGUGUGUGUGUGUGUGUGUGUGUGUGUGUGUGUGUGUGUGUGUGUGUGUGUGUGUGUGUGUGUGUGUGUGUGUGUGUGUGUGUGUGUGUGUGUGUGUGUGUGUGUGUGUGUGUGUGUGAGACUGUUUCUCUAAACUUAGACCCAUAGACCCGUCCUGAUGAAUUAUUGUCUGUGCAGACAAACUGACUGAUUGAUUGGAAGUAUUAUAAUAAUUAUCCUGCAGUUGUGGUGACUGCUGGCUUUUGAUUUUAAACACAAACUGCCAACAUUUAUAAAAGUUUGGAUUCGUACAAAUUACUUGGUGAAUUAAAUAUGAGAAACUGAGCAGAACACUAGAUCGAAAGUGUGUUCAUACAAAUAUAUAUACACACAUAUGUAUACAUAUUUAUAUAUUAUAUAUGUGGGUGUGUAUAUACUGUAUGUAGUUAUUUUUUAGCUGUUUUCUUUAAACAAUUGAAAUCAAAUUCUGGAUUUGAGUCAAAUAAUGAAAUAAAUCUCGAAACCUGAUAACCCAUCAGCUGAUGAACAUAUUAAAGUCUCUUAAAUCUGGUUAUUGACAAAAUAUGUCCCACUCUGUAAUAUAUAACAGAACAGUUCAAACAUUAGUAUCAACUUUAAACAAAAAGACAACAAAUGUUACUAAAAAACAACUGUGCGUGUGUGUGCGCGUGUGUGUGUGUGCGCGCGUGUGUGCGUGUGUGUGCGUGCGCGCGCAAGAGAGAGAGAGAGAGAGAGAGAGAGAGAGAGAAUGUCACUGAUUCACCUGUAUGCUCUACUUUAUUCAUGAUUUACUCUUCUGCUGUUAUUUAAACUCCUAAACAAGAAAAGGAGAUAGAAAUAAACAAAUGGGGAGUAAAAAGCUAAAAUAUUAAUACAAUAAUAUAAUUAUUAUAUUCACAAUGACGUCAGUUUCAGAGGCUCCUCUGUAAAUAAUCCUAAACAAAGCACAAAUCCCUGAAUUUAAAUAAUUUCUACCAGUUCAUGCCUUGAAUUUAAAACAACAUUGAAGUUUCUAGAGAAGAACAGCCGUAGUAAUCCUCAGUGGAAACUCUUUAUAGAGAAUACAUGAAGAAGUAUUAAACAUGUGUUUUCAAACCAUGAACCCUCAUGGACAGUGAUGUCACUCAGCGACGUAAUGAGCCAGCUGAUGAUGUGACAUCACUACAGAAAGUUUACAAGAAACAGAUGUGAUAAAGGUCAUGUAACAGGUUUUACAAUAAGGUCAUUAAGUCCCAUGUUGAAUAUAUUUUAACUUUGGAAUCCAUUAAAAAUGGUCUAUUUUUUACCCAGAAAUGAAAUUACCAAGCAGAAUUAUAAAUUAAAAGAGAAUAGGGCAAGUGCUGAGUAGAAUGAUACUGUGGUUAAAUGUCAACAUGAGAAAUAGUUUAAUUUCAAUUGUGAAUAGCUGUAUUUAUAAGUAAUUUGCAAGUUAGCAUUUCUUUUUCUUUUUUAAAUCUGGUAAAUUGCUAAAAUUUAAACAUUUCAAUUAAAACAAAAACAUAAAGAAAUGAUUUAAUUAAGUUUUCAGUUUUUGAUUUCAGGUUUAAAAUUUUUACUUUCCAUUAUUAAAUUGACAUUUUCAUGAAAAACAAUUUCCUUUUUUAGAGCUUCUUUUUUACAUUUGUGUUAAACUAGUAUUGAGACAUGCAGUAAAAUCUUAUGUUUUCCUGACGUUUUCGGUUUGAUUUUAUUAAUUUUCUCUUAAGUAUUAACUCUCAAUAUUACUUAUUCUAAUGUUUUGAAAUUUAAUUUUAACAGAUGUAUUUUCUGGCUGGAAUGUUCCUUCAUAAUUGGAUGUGCGGUGAACAGUUUGUGAUUCUCAGUGUUUUAUUUAUUUAGUAGCGUUUUUUAUUUUCUGCUGGAGAUAUUCAUGACAGAGCAAUGAGUCAGGAGCUGCUGCAGUAGAUUCCUUCAACGAUCCCCCUGAUAAAACCUGUUCGGGAAAACCUCCUGAAACCUUAUUGAUGUAUUUAUCUGCUGACGCCUGAACGCACCGUCCAACCGCCUCACAGCUUUUGUUGUCUGCUUCUUUUUACUCUCUGUUCUAAUUUAUUAUUUCAAUGAGAUGUAAAUAAUCCGUCUGAAUAAAUCAUGUUGCAGCUCACUGA
Etheostoma spectabile (orangethroat darter) is the source of this 2185-nucleotide long non-coding RNA. RefSeq lists it as uncharacterized. The transcript is spliced from 2 exons. The record is from RefSeq and is a predicted model, not a curated record. Lineage: Eukaryota; Metazoa; Chordata; Actinopteri; Perciformes; Percidae.